CCCUGCCCUGGCACUGGGCGCGCGCGGGCCGGCCUCGCUUUUAUCCCAGCGCACGCGCGCAGCGGACGGGGGCGGGGCCCACGCCCCCAGGUCCUCGCGGCGCCCGCGGCUAAGAUCACCGUAAAUGUCCGAAUAUGGGAACACCCACGAUUUGAGGCUCUAACACACUUUUCUCAGUGACAAGGGAGUAUGGCAACAGCGAUGACCUCACAGGAUAGCUCCAGGAAGGAGCUGAGAUCAGAUAGCAUUUACGACAGCACCUAGCAGGCAGGAAGGGCCUGUGCAGAAAGGGUUUCUGGCUUGGGGAGGCCUCUCCUCGCCUGCCCCCAGUCAAGCCUUCCUGUGAGUUGCCCGGCUGUUCUCUGCCACCCCAGGAGCUGCAAGGCGGUCAAGGUCAGAAGGGGGCGUGCGGUGGGAGGGUACUGGCCCGUGGCCCCAGAAGCAACUGCUGUGGGAGCUCUUGACGCACUUAAUGGCUUUCAGGGAAGGGAUGGUGACAACUCUAGAUGCCCUGCCCCUGGACCCCGUGUCAUCUGACCUGUGCCUGGCGACGGCGUGUUACCCCGAAGCUCAAGAACCACCAUCCCGCCCCUGCUCCUGGAGUGCUGACAGAGUUCAGAGAUUCAGCACCAGCUUCACCGGGAAAUCCACGGAAGCCGUGUGUAGCUUCGAAAGUAAAAACACAAGUGACACC
Prionailurus viverrinus (fishing cat) is the source of this 694-nucleotide long non-coding RNA. RefSeq lists it as uncharacterized. The transcript is spliced from 4 exons. The record is from RefSeq and is a predicted model, not a curated record. NCBI's taxonomy places the organism in Eukaryota, Metazoa, Chordata, Mammalia, Carnivora, Felidae.